RNAcentral lists this long non-coding RNA (753 nucleotides) under Helianthus annuus (common sunflower). The record is from RNAcentral. Lineage: Eukaryota; Viridiplantae; Streptophyta; Magnoliopsida; Asterales; Asteraceae.
AUGUUUAUAAGAUUAAAAGUAAAAGCUACCAAUGUUUCAUUAAUAACCAUAUUGUAUGUAAAGAACUUGUUCCGGCCGAACCCGAAUCCCCACUAAACCUAAUACCAUUCCAUGGUCCUGCCCGGAACUUGAUCAUAUUUUCGCCUUGUUUGAGUAUGUGCUGAGGAUAACCAUGUGUGUCAAUGCUGUAGGUAAAUUCACCUGGAGCUGGAUCUUCACUGCCUUUCCAUGAUGAUAGACGCCAUUCCCUGCCCGUCAACAGGUCCCUCCCGAACUUCAUUUCAGGCAAAAGUGUAUCAGUUGGAUAAUCAAAACUCUGCCAGAGAAUCUUUACGUUGUCUCCGUCCGUCAUGACUAAGUUUCCGUUGUCAUCAAGCUUUGCAGUCGCAUUUCCUGAGGAUGUUGUGUUGGAUGACCACAUUAUACCAUUGGUACUAUUGUUCAUGAGGACAAGACUUCCUGGAUGGACAAUCUUUAACACGCCUGAUGAUGCGAUGGUGAGUGGGUGUUCUCUGUUGGCAACCCAAACAACUGUUUUGACAUAUAUUUUCUUGUACCAUAUGCCAAGGUAGCUAUUCCCAGAGCUACCCGGCUUGAAAAAGCCAAGUUCAAAGGUUCCGGCAGGCGACACCAAUGUAUCUUUUUCUGUCAAGAACUGUAAAUCUGAAAUGAUAUUGAUUUCGGCAGUAUAGAUUUUCUGAAUGGGGAGUGAAACAAGUAAAAGAACAAGUAUAGCUACUCUCUCCAUUUUUC